Molecule: transfer RNA, 72 nt
Filed under: Angustibacter aerolatus
Lineage: Bacteria; Bacillati; Actinomycetota; Actinomycetes; Kineosporiales; Kineosporiaceae
Description: tRNA-Ser
Source: RNAcentral
UCGAAGCGUUGGGGUCCUGGCGAUACUGGUUCGAACCCAGUGCCGCGACUGGUUCGAACCCAGUGCCGCGAC